AUUGAACGCUGGCGGCAGGCCUAACACAUGCAAGUCGAACGGUAGCACAGAGAGCUUGCUCUCGGGUGACGAGUGGCGGACGGGUGAGUAAUGUCUGGGAAACUGCCUGAUGGAGGGGGAUAACUACUGGAAACGGUAGCUAAUACCGCAUAACGUCGCAAGACCAAAGAGGGGGACCUUCGGGCCUCUUGCCAUCAGAUGUGCCCAGAUGGGAUUAGCUAGUAGGUGGGGUAAUGGCUCACCUAGGCGACGAUCCCUAGCUGGUCUGAGAGGAUGACCAGCCACACGGGAACUGAGACACGGUCCAGACUCCUACGGGAGGCAGCAGUGGGGAAGAUUGCACAAUGGGCGCAAGCCUGAUGCAGCCAUGCCGCGUGUAUGAAGAAGGCCUUCGGGUUGUAAAGUACUUUCAGCGGGGAGGAAGGUGCUGAGGUUAAUAACCUCAGCAAUUGACGUUACCCGCAGAAGAAGCACCGGCUAACUCCGUGCCAGCCGCCGCAGUAA
This 504-nucleotide ribosomal RNA is filed under the name uncultured bacterium. RNAcentral describes it as "partial 16S ribosomal RNA". It matches the Rfam family "Bacterial small subunit ribosomal RNA", at positions 30 to 523 of the family's 1533-position model. The record is from RNAcentral.